CGGGGUGUAGCGCAGUCAGGUUAGCGCGCGUCGUUCGGGACGACGAGGUCGGUGGUUCGAAUCCACUCACCCCGACAA
This 78-nucleotide transfer RNA is filed under the name Bacteroides sp. SM23_62_1. Its description in RNAcentral is "tRNA-Pro". It matches the Rfam family "tRNA". From Rfam's summary of the family: Transfer RNA (tRNA) molecules are approximately 80 nucleotides in length. Their secondary structure includes four short double-helical elements and three loops (D, anti-codon, and T loops). Further hydrogen bonds mediate the characteristic L-shaped molecular structure. tRNAs have two regions of fundamental functional importance: the anti-codon, which is responsible for specific mRNA codon recognition, and the 3' end, to which the tRNAs corresponding amino acid is attached (by aminoacyl-tRNA synthetases). tRNAs cope with the degeneracy of the genetic code in two manners: having more than one tRNA (with a specific anti-codon) for a particular amino acid; and 'wobble' base-pairing, i.e. permitting non-standard base-pairing at the 3rd anti-codon position. Lineage: Bacteria; Pseudomonadati; Bacteroidota; Bacteroidia; Bacteroidales; Bacteroidaceae. The record is from RNAcentral.